This 475-nucleotide ribosomal RNA is filed under the name uncultured bacterium. RNAcentral's name for it is "bacterial SSU rRNA". It matches the Rfam family "Bacterial small subunit ribosomal RNA", at positions 365 to 832 of the family's 1533-position model. The record is from RNAcentral.
UUCGCAAUGCCCGAAAGGGUGACGAUGCGACGCCGCGUGGAGGAUGAAGGCUUUCGGGUUGUAAACCGCUGUCAGGGUGACGGAAGUGUGCGGUCGUUAAUAGCGGCCGUGCUUGACCGAUCCCAAAGGAAGCCAUGGCUAACUCCGUGCCAGCAGCCGCGGUAAUACGGAGAUGGCAAGCGUUGUUCGGAAUUACUGGGCUUAAAGAGCACGUAGGCGGCUCGGUCAGUCGGGUGUGAAAUCCCUCAGCUCAACUGAGGAACUGCGCCCGAUACUGCCGAGCUAGAGAGCAGGAGGGGAGAGUGGAACUCUAGGUGGAGCGGUGAAAUGCGUAGAUAUCUAGAGGAACGCCGGUGGCGAAAGCGACUCUCUGGCCUGCUUCUGACGCUGAGUGUGCGAAAGCCAGGGUAGCGAACGGGAUUAGAUACCCCGGUAGUCCUGGCCGUAAACGAUGGGCACUAAGUAGAGGGGUUUU